UGGGGAAUAUUGCACAAUGGGCGCAAGCCUGAUGCAGCCAUGCCGCGUGUGUGAAGAAGGCCUUCGGGUUGUAAAGCACUUUCAGCGGGGAGGAAGGCGAUAAGGUUAAUAACCUUGUCGAUUGACGUUACCCGCAGAAGAAGCACCGGCUAACUCCGUGCCAGCAGCCGCGGUAAUACGGAGGGUGCAAGCGUUAAUCGGAAUUACUGGGCGUAAAGCGCACGCAGGCGGUCUGUCAAGUCGGAUGUGAAAUCCCCGGGCCCAACCUGGGAACUGCAUUCGAAACUGGCAGGCUAGAGUCUUGUAGAGGGGGGUAGAAUUCCAGGUGUAGCGGUGAAAUGCGUAGAGAUCUGGAGGAAUACCGGUGGCGAAGGCGGCCCCCUGGACAAAGACUGACGCUCAGGUGCGAAAGCGUGGGGAGCAAACAGG
Molecule: ribosomal RNA, 429 nt
Filed under: Chloroflexota bacterium
Lineage: Bacteria; Bacillati; Chloroflexota
Description: Chloroflexi bacterium partial 16S ribosomal RNA
Rfam family: Bacterial small subunit ribosomal RNA
Source: RNAcentral